RNAcentral lists this ribosomal RNA (465 nucleotides) under Streptococcus sp. oral taxon C08. Its description in RNAcentral is "bacterial SSU rRNA". It matches the Rfam family "Bacterial small subunit ribosomal RNA", at positions 28 to 473 of the family's 1533-position model. Lineage: Bacteria; Bacillati; Bacillota; Bacilli; Lactobacillales; Streptococcaceae. The record is from RNAcentral.
GACGAACGCUGGCGGCGUGCCUAAUACAUGCAAGUAGAACGCUGAAGCUUGGUGCUUGCACCGAGCGGAUGAGUUGCGAACGGGUGAGUAACGCGUAGGUAACCUGCCUGGUAGCGGGGGAUAACUAUUGGAAACGAUAGCUAAUACCGCAUAAGAGUAGAUGUUGCAUGACAUUUGCUUAAAAGGUGCAAUUGCAUCACUACCAGAUGGACCUGCGUUGUAUUAGCUAGUUGGUGAGGUAACGGCUCACCAAGGCAACGAUACAUAGCCGACCUGAGAGGGUGAUCGGCCACACUGGGACUGAGACACGGCCCAGACUCCUACGGGAGGCAGCAGUAGGGAGUCUUCGGCAAUGGACGAAAGUCUGACCGAGCAACGCCGCGUGAGUGAAGAAGGUUUUCGGAUCGUAAAGCUCUGUUGUAAGAGAAGAAACGGGUGUGAGAGUGGAAAAGUUCCACCACUGGG